RNAcentral lists this transfer RNA (73 nucleotides) under Candidatus Poseidoniaceae archaeon. Its description in RNAcentral is "tRNA-Arg". It matches the Rfam family "tRNA". Rfam says of the family: Transfer RNA (tRNA) molecules are approximately 80 nucleotides in length. Their secondary structure includes four short double-helical elements and three loops (D, anti-codon, and T loops). The record is from RNAcentral. Lineage: Archaea; Methanobacteriati; Thermoplasmatota; Candidatus Poseidoniia; Candidatus Poseidoniales; Candidatus Poseidoniaceae.
GGGCGUAUAGUGUAGUAGGAUAUCACGCUGGGUUUCUAACCCGGCAACACGGGUUCGAAUCCUGUUACGCCCG